Molecule: ribosomal RNA, 1411 nt
Filed under: Enterobacter ludwigii
Lineage: Bacteria; Pseudomonadati; Pseudomonadota; Gammaproteobacteria; Enterobacterales; Enterobacteriaceae
Description: bacterial SSU rRNA
Rfam family: Bacterial small subunit ribosomal RNA
Source: RNAcentral
CAUGCAGUCGGGCGGUAGCACAGAGAGCUUGCUCUCGGGUGACGAGCGGCGGACGGGUGAGUAAUGUCUGGGAAACUGCCUGAUGGAGGGGGAUAACUACUGGAAACGGUAGCUAAUACCGCAUAACGUCGCAAGACCAAAGAGGGGGACCUUCGGGCCUCUUGCCAUCAGAUGUGCCCAGAUGGGAUUAGCUAGUAGGUGGGGUAACGGCUCACCUAGGCGACGAUCCCUAGCUGGUCUGAGAGGAUGACCAGCCACACUGGAACUGAGACACGGUCCAGACUCCUACGGGAGGCAGCAGUGGGGAAUAUUGCACAAUGGGCGCAAGCCUGAUGCAGCCAUGCCGCGUGUAUGAAGAAGGCCUUCGGGUUGUAAAGUACUUUCAGCGGGGAGGAAGGUGUUGUGGUUAAUAACCACAGCAAUUGACGUUACCCGCAGAAGAAGCACCGGCUAACUCCGUGCCAGCAGCCGCGGUAAUACGGAGGGUGCAAGCGUUUAAUCGGAAUUACUGGGCGUAAAGCGCACGCAGGCGGUCUGUCAAGUCGGAUGUGAAAUCCCCGGGCUCAACCUGGGAACUGCAUUCGAAACUGGCAGGCUAGAGUCUUGUAGAGGGGGGUAGAAUUCCAGGUGUAGCGGUGAAAUGCGUAGAGAUCUGGAGGAAUACCGGUGGCGAAGGCGGCCCCCUGGACAAAGACUGACGCUCAGGUGCGAAAGCGUGGGGAGCAAACAGGAUUAGAUACCCUGGUAGUCCACGCCGUAAACGAUGUCGACUUGGAGGUUGUGCCCUUGAGGCGUGGCUUCCGGAGCUAACGCGUUAAGUCGACCGCCUGGGGAGUACGGCCGCAAGGUUAAAACUCAAAUGAAUUGACGGGGGCCCGCACAAGCGGUGGAGCAUGUGGUUUAAUUCGAUGCAACGCGAAGAACCUUACCUACUCUUGACAUCCAGAGAACUUAGCAGAGAUGCUUUGGUGCCUUCGGGAACUCUGAGACAGGUGCUGCAUGGCUGUCGUCAGCUCGUGUUGUGAAAUGUUGGGUUAAGUCCCGCAACGAGCGCAACCCUUAUCCUUUGUUGCCAGCGGUUAGGCCGGGAACUCAAAGGAGACUGCCAGUGAUAAACUGGAGGAAGGUGGGGAUGACGUCAAGUCAUCAUGGCCCUUACGAGUAGGGCUACACACGUGCUACAAUGGCGCAUACAAAGAGAAGCGACCUCGCGAGAGCAAGCGGACCUCAUAAAGUGCGUCGUAGUCCGGAUUGGAGUCUGCAACUCGACUCCAUGAAGUCGGAAUCGCUAGUAAUCGUAGAUCAGAAUGCUACGGUGAAUACGUUCCCGGGCCUUGUACACACCGCCCGUCACACCAUGGGAGUGGGUUGCAAAAGAAGUAGGUAGCUUAACCUUCGGGAGGGCGCUACC